This 497-nucleotide ribosomal RNA is filed under the name uncultured bacterium. RNAcentral describes it as "partial 16S ribosomal RNA". It matches the Rfam family "Bacterial small subunit ribosomal RNA", at positions 28 to 507 of the family's 1533-position model. The record is from RNAcentral.
GAUGAACGCUGGCGGCGUGCCUAAUACAUGCAAGUCGAGCGAACGGACGAGAAGCUUGCUUCUCUGAUGUUAGCGGCGGACGGGUGAGUAACACGUGGAUAACCUACCUAUAAGACUGGGAUAACUUCGGGAAACCGGAGCUAAUACCGGAUAAUAUUUUGAACCGCAUGGUUCAAAAGUGAAAGACGGUCUUGCUGUCACUUAUAGAUGGAUCCGCGCUGCAUUAGCUAGUUGGUAAGGUAACGGCUUACCAAGGCAACGAUGCAUAGCCGACCUGAGAGGGUGAUCGGCCACACUGGAACUGAGGCACGGUCCCGACUCCUACGGGAGGGAGCAGUAGGGAAUCUUCCGCAAUGGGCGAAAGCCUGACGGAGCAACGGCGCGUGAGGUAUGAAGGUCUUCGGAUCGUAAAACUCUGUUAUUAGGGAAGAACAUAUGUGUAAGUAACUGUGCACAUCUUGACGGUACCUAAUCAGAAAGCCACGGCUAACUACGUG